AACGAACGCUGGCGGCAUGCCUAACACAUGCAAGUCGAACGAGACCUUCGGGUCUAGUGGCGCACGGGUGCGUAACGCGUGGGAACCUGCCCUUAGGUUCGGAAUAACUCCCCGAAAGGGGUGCUAAUACCGGAUAAUGUCUUCGGACCAAAGAUUUAUCGCCUUUGGAUGGGCCCGCGUUGGAUUAGCUAGUUGGUAGGGUAAAAGCCUACCAAGGCGACGAUCCAUAGCUGGUCUGAGAGGAUGAUCAGCCACACUGGGACUGAGACACGGCCCAGACUCCUCCGGGAGGCAGCAGUGGGGAAUAUGGGACACUGGGCGAGAGCCUGAUCCAGCACGGCCGCGUGAGUGAUGAAGGCCUUAGGGUUGUAAAGCUCUUUUACCCGGGAUGAUAAUGACAUUACCGGGAGAAUAAGCUCCGGCUACCUCCGU
RNAcentral lists this ribosomal RNA (432 nucleotides) under uncultured bacterium. RNAcentral describes it as "partial 16S ribosomal RNA". It matches the Rfam family "Bacterial small subunit ribosomal RNA", at positions 29 to 506 of the family's 1533-position model. The record is from RNAcentral.